GGCGGUAUAGCAAAGUGGCAAUGCACUUUCCUCGCAAGGAAGUAUCGCGGGUUCGAGUCCCGCUACCGCCUCCA
This 74-nucleotide transfer RNA is filed under the name Chloroflexota bacterium. RNAcentral describes it as "Chloroflexi bacterium tRNA-Ala". It matches the Rfam family "tRNA". Rfam says of the family: Transfer RNA (tRNA) molecules are approximately 80 nucleotides in length. Their secondary structure includes four short double-helical elements and three loops (D, anti-codon, and T loops). Lineage: Bacteria; Bacillati; Chloroflexota. The record is from RNAcentral.